UUUGCCUUUCAAUAAUAUGUCUAAAGCCUA
This 30-nucleotide non-coding RNA is filed under the name Mus musculus (house mouse). The record is from RNAcentral. Lineage: Eukaryota; Metazoa; Chordata; Mammalia; Rodentia; Muridae.